RNAcentral lists this signal recognition particle RNA (97 nucleotides) under Propionibacteriaceae bacterium. Its description in RNAcentral is "signal recognition particle sRNA small type". It matches the Rfam family "Bacterial small signal recognition particle RNA". From Rfam's summary of the family: The signal recognition particle (SRP) is a universally conserved ribonucleoprotein involved in the co-translational targeting of proteins to membranes. Lineage: Bacteria; Bacillati; Actinomycetota; Actinomycetes; Propionibacteriales; Propionibacteriaceae. The record is from RNAcentral.
GUCGGUUCCCCGCGCGGCGGCAUCUUCCCCAACCCCCCCAGGGUCGGAAGGCAGCAAGGGUAAGGAGGCUCUGCCGGGUGCGCGGGGAACCGCCUGC